RNAcentral lists this ribosomal RNA (598 nucleotides) under uncultured Bacteroidales bacterium. Its description in RNAcentral is "bacterial SSU rRNA". It matches the Rfam family "Bacterial small subunit ribosomal RNA", at positions 51 to 638 of the family's 1533-position model. The record is from RNAcentral. Lineage: Bacteria; Pseudomonadati; Bacteroidota; Bacteroidia; Bacteroidales.
ACACAUGCAAGUCGAGGGGCAGCAUUUCAGUUUGCUUGCAAACUGGAGAUGGCGACCGGCGCACGGGUGAGUAACACGUAUCCAACCUGCCGAUAACUCGGGGAUAGCCUUUCGAAAGAAAGAUUAAUACCCGAUGGUAUAAUUAGACCGCAUGGUCUUGUUAUUAAAGAAUUUCGGUUAUCGAUGGGGAUGCGUUCCAUUAGGCAGUUGGUGAGGUAACGGCUCACCAAACCUUCGAUGGAUAGGGGUUCUGAGAGGAAGGUCCCCCACAUUGGAACUGAGACACGGUCCAAACUCCUACGGGAGGCAGCAGUGAGGAAUAUUGGUCAAUGGGCGCAGGCCUGAACCAGCCAAGUAGCGUGAAGGAUGACUGCCCUAUGGGUUGUAAACUUCUUUUAUAUGGGAAUAAAGUUUUCCACGUGUGGAAUUUUGUAUGUACCAUAUGAAUAAGGAUCGGCUAACUCCGUGCCAGCAGCCGCGGUAAUACGGAGGAUCCGAGCGUUAUCCGGAUUUAUUGGGUUUAAAGGGAGCGUAGGUGGACAGUUAAGUCAGUUGUGAAAGUUUGCGGCUCAACCGUAAAUUGCAGUUGAUACUGGCU